UGGGGAAUUUUGGACAAUGGGGGAAACCCUGAUCCAGCCAUCCCGCGUGUGCGAUGAAGGCCUUCGGGUUGUAAAGCACUUUUGGCAGGAAAGAAACGUCAUGGGUUAAUACCCCGUGAAACUGACGGUACCUGCAGAAUAAGCACCGGCUAACUACGUGCCAGCAGCCGCGGUAAUACGUAGGGUGCAAGCGUUAAUCGGAAUUACUGGGCGUAAAGCGUGCGCAGGCGGUUCGGAAAGAAAGAUGUGAAAUCCCAGAGCUCAACUUUGGAACUGCAUUUUUAACUACCGGGCUAGAGUGUGUCAGAGGGAGGUGGAAUUCCGCGUGUAGCAGUGAAAUGCGUAGAUAUGCGGAGGAACACCGAUGGAGAAGGCAGCAUCCUGGGAUAACACUGACGCUCAUGAACGAAAGCGUGGGGAGCAAACAGG
Molecule: ribosomal RNA, 429 nt
Filed under: Acidobacteriota bacterium
Lineage: Bacteria; Pseudomonadati; Acidobacteriota
Description: Acidobacteria bacterium partial 16S ribosomal RNA
Rfam family: Bacterial small subunit ribosomal RNA
Source: RNAcentral